Callithrix jacchus (white-tufted-ear marmoset) is the source of this 121-nucleotide small nucleolar RNA. The record is from Ensembl. NCBI's taxonomy places the organism in Eukaryota, Metazoa, Chordata, Mammalia, Primates, Cebidae.
ACAGACUCACUCUGCACCUGGCUGCAGCCCCAGUCGAGUGUUUCUUUUUCAUCUGCCAGAGAAAUAUUGCUGUGGCUACCUGACCUGCUGAAGGUGAUGCAGCUUCCCAGGGGACGUAGGG